CCUACGGGAGGCAGCAGUGGGAAUAUUGGACAAUGGGGGGAACCCUGAUCCAGCCAUGCCGCGUGUGUGAAGAAGGCCCUCGGGUUGUAAAGCACUUUCAGUGAGGAAGAACGCCUGGUGGUUAAUACCCAUCAGGAAAGACAUCACUCACAGAAGAAGCACCGGCUAACUCCGUGCCAGCAGCCGCGGUAAUACGGAGGGUGCGAGCGUUAAUCGGAAUUACUGGGCGUAAAGCGCGCGUAGGUGGCUUGAUAAGCCGGUUGUGAAAGCCCCGGGCUCAACCUGGGAACGGCAUCCGGAACUGUCAAGCUAGAGUGCAGGAGAGGAAGGUAGAAUUCCCGGUGUAGCGGUGAAAUGCGUAGAGAGCGGGAGGAAUACCAGUGGCGAAGGCGGCCUUCUGGACUGACACUGACACUGAGGUGCGAAAGCGUGGGUAGCAAACAGGAUUAGAUACCCUGGUAGUC
Molecule: ribosomal RNA, 464 nt
Filed under: Vreelandella stevensii
Lineage: Bacteria; Pseudomonadati; Pseudomonadota; Gammaproteobacteria; Oceanospirillales; Halomonadaceae
Description: partial 16S ribosomal RNA
Rfam family: Bacterial small subunit ribosomal RNA
Source: RNAcentral